GGUUACAUCGUAUGAUGCUUGAAGAUUUGCCGAAUGGUAUUAUGGAUGAGGUACUGUGAGCACGUUGCCAUUUGCUUUGAAAGAGUUUGUCCAUAUCAAAGAAGGGUUGCAGUUGUGGAGAAUAAAUUUUGUUGUCUCUGGAUGUAAUGAAUUAUUUUUAGUUCGCGAAUUUGUUGUAUGAUGCAUUUUUUAAUAUAGUAUACGGUACAUGAAAUGUAGAGGUGCCAAAU
RNAcentral lists this long non-coding RNA (230 nucleotides) under Rosa chinensis. Its description in RNAcentral is "sRNA RchiOBHm_Chr3g0492841". The record is from RNAcentral. Lineage: Eukaryota; Viridiplantae; Streptophyta; Magnoliopsida; Rosales; Rosaceae.